Long non-coding RNA from Mobula hypostoma (lesser devil ray), 346 nucleotides. RefSeq lists it as uncharacterized. The record is from RefSeq and is a predicted model, not a curated record. Lineage: Eukaryota; Metazoa; Chordata; Chondrichthyes; Myliobatiformes; Myliobatidae. The transcript is spliced from 3 exons.
CGGGCUGUGACCAGAACCUGCGGCACAGAGGCCAGGAAGCCUGUAUUCGAGUGCGAGCCCGUGAUUGACUCCCUCUCUCUCUGAUCUUGCCGAUGAAGCGCUGAGGAAGACUGAAAUCAUCGAGUAUCAGAUCCCAAGGAGGCAUACCAUUUAAAACGGUGAUAAGGAAGAAUUUCAUGAGCCAGAUAGUGGUGAAACUGUGGAUUUCAUUGCCACAGGCAGUUGUGGAAGCCAGAUCAUUGGUUGAGAUACAGCAUGGAAUAGACCCUUUCGGCCUUUCAAGCCACAGUGCCCAGCAAUUGCCGGAUUUCAUCUAGGCCUAAUCACAGGACAAUUUACAAUUACC